UUGUCAAAAAUUGCCACGCGGAAAAAAGGAGUCAUCGGCAAGACAGUGUGCGCUUCGGUUGUCGCUUAAACACGCAGGCGGCGGUAUUUUCUUGUGGCGCGACGAUUCUCCACACAAAAGGCAGAUUCCGUGCUCUUAAAUCGCGUUCUAGUUCGGUCGAUCGGUUACGAUUAUCCCCCCGAAAGAUACAUCCCGAAUAGCAAAGACCAUGAUUUGAAACAUUCUGUAACUGGGAUUCCCUGGCCCGGGUGGACCAUCAUCCGUCGAUUCUGUGCGGAGAUUUCGAUAACGCGAUAACUGUGGUGCGCUGACGUUUAACGGCCCUCUUCUGACGGAUCUGAUGUUGACUAUCCGGAUAAUCUGCGGUGGCCAUCCUCUGGAAAUCUUCCAUCCGCCUCACCAGAAGCUGUUGAAACAUGCCGCCAUGGUGGUGGUUCCCAUUCAGCCAUCGACGACGAUGGCUGGAAUGGUAUCCGUCGAGAGAGAUUCCCCGUCGAUUCAAGAUCUAUUCAAGGAUGUUAAGGCUGCCGCACGCACAGGCAAGCGACCAACAAUUUCUGGUGGUUGGUGCUUCGCUGACUACCCAUCACCUACGCCGUCACCGAAGUCGAACAGGAAAUCAGAUUGAAUUGCCUGGAAGCCACGCUACAGAUCUUUAAGAAACCCUAAAUCGGAGGCAAUAUUGGCCUUAUUUAGGAACCAACAGAGCGGUGUAGCUUCCGGUACAACCUGUCCGGGAUACUCACAAUGGUGACGAUUUAAAAGUUGCUUCCACAUCUGAAACGGGACGGGACACAGCAUUGCUGAAGGGCAUCACCUCCAUCGAGUACCAAGCAAAUUCUUUCUCGACCAAGUGCAAAUAACUUGAGGCGCUCAGCGUUGAACUGACCGACUAAGGUGGCUGCCCGAACUUCAAACCAAAGGCCUGUAUCUUUGAGUACAACUUGCUUUGAAAUACUCGGGCUCGGGAUUGUUCAUCGUUGCAGGUGACUCUGAAAAAGUCGGCGGUCGAAACAGCUGUCAAAUUAAAAGUUUCAAUGGGCUAAAUCACCUAUACCACAAUAUUAUAAAAUAAAAUAAAACUAUUUUGAAUUCCUUUUUUAAUCAACCAGGUUGUUAAAGUUAUUUCUUGUUUUAAGGAAUAAUAUUCUUGAUUAGUCGUGCUUUAAAUAAACGUUUAUCAAGUUUAGUUAAAAGCAUAACUAUCAUGAAUAAAAUUCCUUAAAAUUAGUAAUAACUUUAGCAAUCUAUUCCAAUCAAUAAGAAUAUAAAUUAUUCAUGGUAAACCAUGAAAUUCUAUGGUUAAAACAAUAUGUAUAUACCAUAGAAAAACCUUGAUUUCCAUCUUCGUUUUAACAAUCGAAAUAAACGGAUUUUCAUGGUUUUACCAUGAAAAACUGAAAGCUGUUUUAACCAUGAACUUUAUAUUUUUGGGCUUCCCAAUGUAUGGAAAAUCGCCAUUUUUUUCAUGGUCACGCUGCAUAACAAUACCCCUUUUUCAUGGUUAUUUUCGCCAAAACAGUGAAAUGUAUGGUCGGAAACUAUGAAUUCCAAUGUGUGUUCACGGUAUCGUGGACGAUAAUAAGCAUUGUGUAGACCAUAAAAUUUAUGGUUUGUGAAUCGAAUCGACGGAUGAUGGUCCACCCGGGCCAGGGAAUCCCAGUUACAGAAUGUUUCAAAUCUUGAAGUAGAGAUAACCGGCAAUUUUAUAAAUUUCUUUCGAAAACAAAGACGCGAAAAUGGCGCACUUUCCCACCAAAAUAAAUCUCUACACGCAAAAUUAAAAGUAUGUAAAAAAUAAUAAAGUUUACCAACGUUCGUUUUGGUUUGGAUUUUAAUUUUACCAUGAAGUACACAGUCACAAUAAAAAUCACAAGAAAAUUAUAACAAUACCGUGCUUUUGAUAUUUAAGACAACUAUGAAAUAUUUAGAAUUGACGAUAUACUUCACGGUGACGUUAAAAAUGAUGGUGGUUUCAAAAUUAAAAGCGGUUGAAAAUUAUUGAGAUAUUACGAUGAAGCUUAUUGUUAAAUUGAAAAUCAUUGUUCGGUUAUAUUAAUACCAUGGUCUUUGCUAUUCGGAAGUUUAGUCGAGUUUGCUGUGCCGUCUUCAAAAUUGUAGAUGUCGCACUAGUCGCGUUUGUUUACAUGCAUCCUGGGUCGUCCCUAGCAGCGGCAACGUUCAUUUUCCAUUGAAACCGCUUGAUUUUGUUUCGGCAUCCUUGGAUGCAAUUCAACUGACGAAAUACCAUUUUAAAAGGGCACAUAAUCAAAUGUGAUGCAAAAAAGAAAAAUGAAUAACUUUAUAACUAAAUUUUGAAAUAGUUGUCAAUGAAAUUAGUAAUUUUAUUUCAAUCUUUUUGUGUUCCAUUCUCGGUUCCAAAUUAAUAAAAUUUCUGUUUAUAGCAAAGA
Long non-coding RNA from Uranotaenia lowii, 2411 nucleotides. RefSeq lists it as uncharacterized. Lineage: Eukaryota; Metazoa; Arthropoda; Insecta; Diptera; Culicidae. The transcript is spliced from 4 exons. The record is from RefSeq and is a predicted model, not a curated record.